UUUUGGCGGUUAUCAGUUUCCAGACCGAGUUGAGCUAUGGUACUUGACUAUUUUGUAGGAAUUUUUGUUUUCAAACUCCUUAAACUUAACUCUAAAGUGACCGUGUUAAACCUAAUGUCAUGGGUACAAGUCCAUGGAGCGAGCCAGUAGAGCCAGCUUCUCCUGGUGGUUCAGCUGGGCGAUGUGGAGACCCUGAUUGCCCUUACUGCAGUGAGGAUGGUCCUGCUUUGUCUCUGUUUAUGUAUUCAAUUAAAAGUAUACGAAAAUGACCUGGCCCGUGGGAACCCAGACCCCCAAGCCAGGAUCCCAGCGGGCCAAGUCCAGGCACCCCCAGACCAGGCAGCCUAUGGGGACUGAGCCACCCAGCGACGCCUGGACGCCCCGGGACGUGCAGCCGGCCAGCAACCUCCCGCUGCCCUGCAACCCCCAGCCCCACCAAGAUUCCCCGUUCGCCUGUACCCAGGGCCUAGAUUUCCGGCGAACAGGGAAAGACCUUGUAAUUGAUAAUGCAAUGAAUUAAUUUUUAAUAAUAACAAAAAUAAAAUUAAAAAUUUAUUUUUAAAAUUAUAGGACAAGAUUAGCAAGAGGAGCAUAUAGAGAAUCUAUAGCGCUCAUCUUGCAAGAGUAAAUAUGUCUGGCACAACAGUGCAUUCAGAUCACAGUUCUGGUUGCAAUAUCUGCCAGACAUGACAGGCUUAAAAAAAAAAAAUCUUUUUAAAUAGAAAUCUGGCUAAGAUUUCAGUUUCAAACUGAACUUGAUGAUGAUAAAAUAACAUUUCUAUGUGUUAGAGGUGUUUAUUAUGCUUUUUGUUCAUUUUGAAGUUUAAAAUGCUAAAUUUGAAGGAUUUGUAAAUUAUUGCAUUCUGUUUUAAUGCAUAUUUUACACAGCAUCCUAAAGAGGGGUGUAGAUGUGUGCCCACCUACACCCCUCUUUAGGAGGAUUGCCAGUGUACAGACUUGUAACUGUGUGAAUGUUUAGAGCUUGGAUCUUUCCUGUCCUCUGUCCUUAGGUUUCCUCUGUGGCCUCUUUGUAUCUGAGCAGCUUGCUACCUCAUCUCUUUUCUGGCUCCCGUUUCAUUCAUGCGUCUAUCCUGUUCUGAAAGAUCUUCCCAGCAUGCCUCAUCUUUUCUUCUGUCCUUAGAUUUUCAAAAAAAAACAAAAAACACUGGCAUUCUGUCAUGUGAACAAAGCACAAUGCACUCUGAGUAAAAGCUAAAAGAGGAGUGCACAUGUUUUGAAUUUAAAAAAUGGCAUCACAGAAGUAUUUGAAUAUUCAGAAGAUGCUGGGAGGAGUGAUGCAUGCUACGUGAGGAGGCGAGUAUGAAACGCAGAGAGAAGUUUAUUGAUUUAUCUGUGAUGCUCGCUGACUUGU
This is a long non-coding RNA of Archocentrus centrarchus (flier cichlid), 1372 nucleotides long. RefSeq lists it as uncharacterized. The record is from RefSeq and is a predicted model, not a curated record. Lineage: Eukaryota; Metazoa; Chordata; Actinopteri; Cichliformes; Cichlidae. The transcript has 3 exons.